Molecule: ribosomal RNA, 440 nt
Filed under: uncultured bacterium
Lineage: Bacteria
Description: partial 16S ribosomal RNA
Rfam family: Bacterial small subunit ribosomal RNA
Source: RNAcentral
CCUACGGGUGGCAGCAGUAGGGAAUAUUGCUCAAUGGGGGAAACCCUGAAGCAGCAACGCCGCGUGGAGGAUGAAGGUUUUCGGAUUGUAAACUCCUUUUGUUAGAGAAGAAAAUGACGGUAUCUAACGAAUAAGCACCGGCCAACUCCGUGACAGCAGCCGCGGUAAUACGGCGGGAGCAAGCGUUACUCGGAAUCACUGGGCGUAAAGAGCGCGUAGGCGGGAUAGCAAGUCAGAUGGGAAAUCCUAUGGCUUAACCAUAGAACUGCAGUUGAAACUGUUAUUCUAGAGUAUGGGAGAGGUAGGUGGAAUGCUUGGUGUAGCGGUGAAAUCCUUAGAGAUCAAGAGGAAUACUCAUUGCGAAGGCGGCCUGCUAGAACAUAACUGACGCUGAUGCACGAAAGCGUGGGUAGCGAACAGGAUUAGAUACCCCUGUAGUC